Molecule: long non-coding RNA, 517 nt
Filed under: Sus scrofa (pig)
Lineage: Eukaryota; Metazoa; Chordata; Mammalia; Artiodactyla; Suidae
Description: lncRNA (ENSSSCG00070023689.1)
Source: RNAcentral
CCAGAGUUUGUCCUUGGUGGAUGGUCUGUAAGAUCCCAGCCCUUCUGCAUCUUCACCCUAAGGAGGCUGGGCUCUGACAGGUUACCUUGUCUCAAGGGAGCAGUGGGAGUCUCAAAGCAAGACAUUGACAUGGAAGGUUUGCAGGUGGCAGUGGCCGAGGUUUAGUCUCACACAACACAACAAAUGAGAAAGGAGUCUUUAAAAAGAGAAGAAAUCUUACAGUAAAUCAUUCUUUGUUGAUUUGAGUUCCACAAUCUCUGCCAGAAACUCUGGAACUUGAGUACUACCAGAAAGAAACAAAAUGUGGUGAGUCCUACAGUCUUUCUAUAUAUAAAAUCUGUAAUGCUUAGACACGCCACCCCAAGGUUCUGCUGGGUAAGGUUUCACUUGCUAUCUGUGGUCAACCAAUAUGCUACCAAGUAGUGAUUGUGCAUCAGUUAACAUAAUUAAAAGUUACAAGAAGUUUAAAUCGCUGAAAGGUAUAAACUUUAAAUAAAUUUUUGAUCCUUAAAAAUCA